Molecule: ribosomal RNA, 401 nt
Filed under: uncultured bacterium
Lineage: Bacteria
Description: bacterial SSU rRNA
Rfam family: Bacterial small subunit ribosomal RNA
Source: RNAcentral
CUAAGCUUGACAUCCUUUUGACCGAUGCCUAAUCGCAUCUUUCCCUUCGGGGACAGAAGUGACAGGUGGUGCAUGGUUGUCGUCAGCUCGUGUCGUGAGAUGUUGGGUUAAGUCCCGCAACGAGCGCAACCCUUAUCUUUAGUAGCCAGCAGUAAGAUGGGCACUCUAGAGGGACUGCCGGGGAUAACCCGGAGGAAGGUGGGGAUGACGUCAAAUCAUCAUGCCCCUUAUGACCAGGGCUACACACGUGCUACAAUGGCGUAAACAAAGAGAAGCGAAGUCGUAAGGCAGAGCGAAUCUCAAAAAUAACGUCUCAGUUCGGAUUGUAGUCUGCAACUCGACUACAUGAAGCUGGAAUCGCUAGUAAUCGCAGAUCAGAAUGCUGCGGUGAAUACGUUCCC